This is a long non-coding RNA of Crotalus tigris (Tiger rattlesnake), 275 nucleotides long. RefSeq lists it as uncharacterized. The record is from RefSeq and is a predicted model, not a curated record. The transcript is spliced from 3 exons. NCBI's taxonomy places the organism in Eukaryota, Metazoa, Chordata, Lepidosauria, Squamata, Viperidae.
AGGAAAGAAAGUGGAGAAAAGAUCUGGAGGCCUUCCAAUGGAGAUACUGAAGAUGUUUUUGUUUCUCAUGAUGUCUCUUUUGGUUCUGGAGUUCAAUGAUUCCAAACAAUUGUCAAGAACAAAGAAAGAAGUGAACCCUGAAACAUUCAUGAAUAUUGGCUCUUUAAUCUGCACUAGAUGAUCCUGAGCCAGUGGUUUUCAACCUUUUUAAUGCCGUGACCCCCAACCGCUCAUAAGUUGAGGACUACCCAACUGGUCGUAAGUUGAGGACUACC